GGUUGUGGCACAGUGGUAGAGCACUCGCCUAGCACGUGUGAGGCCGCCAGGUUCGAUCCUUAGCACCA
This 68-nucleotide transfer RNA is filed under the name Marmota monax (woodchuck). RNAcentral's name for it is "tRNA.Ala". Lineage: Eukaryota; Metazoa; Chordata; Mammalia; Rodentia; Sciuridae. The record is from RNAcentral.